GUCGAGCGGCAGCGGGGAGUAGCUUGCUACUCUGCCGGCGAGCGGCGGACGGGUGAGUAAAGUCUGGGGAUCUGGCUUAUGGAGGGGGAUAACCAUUGGAAACGGUGGCUAAUACCGCAUGAUGUCGCAAGACCAAAGUGGGGGACUUUAGGGCCUCACGCCAUAAGAUGAACCCAGAUGAGAUUAGCUAGUAGGUGCGGUAAUGGCGUACCUAGGCGACGAUCUCUAGCUGGUCUGAGAGGAUGACCAGCCACACUGGAACUGAGAGACGGUCCAGACUCCUACGGGAGGCAGCAGUGGGGAAUAUUGCACAAUGGGCGGAAGCCUGAUGCAGCCAUGCCGCGUGUGUGAAGAAGGCCUUAGGGUUGUAAAGCACUUUCAGCGGGGAGGAAGGCGGUAAGAGUAAUAUGCUUAUCGAUUGACGUUACCCGCAAAAGAAGCACCGGCUAACUCCGUGCCAGCAGCCGCGGUAAUACGGAGGGUGCGAGCGUUAAUCGGAAUAACUGGGCGUAAAGGGCAUGUAGGCGGUAAGUUAAGUCAGAUGUGAAAUCCCCGAGCUUAACUUGGGAACGGCAUUUGAGACUGGCUGGCUAGAGUUUUGUAGAGGGGGGUAGAAUUCCAGGUGUAGCGGUGAAAUGCGUAGAGAUCUGGAGGAAUACCGGUNGCGAAGGCGGCCCCCUGGACAAGGACUGACGCUGAGGUGCGAAAGCGUGGGUAGCAAACAGGAUUAGAUACCCUGGUAGUCCACGCUGUAAACGAUGUCGAUUUGGAGGUUGUGGCCUAGUGUUAUGGCGUCCGAAGCUAACGCGAUAAAUCGACCGCCUGGGGAGUACGGCCGCAGGUUAAAACUCAAAUGAAUUGACNGGGGCCCGCACAAGCGGUGGAGCAUGUGGUUUAAUUCGAUGCAACGCGAAGAACCUUACCUACUCUNGACAUCCANNGAAUUGAGCAGAGAUGCUUAAGUGCCUUCGG
Molecule: ribosomal RNA, 972 nt
Filed under: Candidatus Regiella insecticola
Lineage: Bacteria; Pseudomonadati; Pseudomonadota; Gammaproteobacteria; Enterobacterales; Enterobacteriaceae
Description: bacterial SSU rRNA
Rfam family: Bacterial small subunit ribosomal RNA
Source: RNAcentral